GUUACAUUUAUAGUUUUUCCAAUUUAAAUUUAUAUAUGUCUAGAGUAAAAUUAAUAUACAUAUAUACAUAUAUAUAAAGUUCUAUUUAUAAAUGCAUAUAGUUUUAUUUGAAGAGGAAUACAGAUGUUCAGAGGGACAGAUUUCUGUUUGUGUAGCCUUAGGCUGCAUUUCAACCUCCUUCCCCCUCAGCUGCCUUUUUCACCUCUUGUUUUUCCCCCUGUGCCCCCUCUGUCCCCUCUUCCUGUGCUGGGUCCGAGCUGGGGCCAGGAUGGGCAGAGCAGCAGUUCCGGCGCCGGCUGUCCCUGGAGCGGUGGGAGCUGCCAGUGGCCCCAGGCACUGUCCCCUGAGGAGCUGCUGAAGGACGACGCUGCCCUGAAGACCUUGAGGCCAGCCAGACACUGACAGGAGCCAGCAGGGAGAAGCUGAAGACCACGAGCAAGAGCAGUGAACAGGGAGCUGCUGCUGCCACCCCGAGAGCCUGGAUGUCCCAUCUGCUGUCCUUGUCCAGGAGAGCUGGCUGCUCUGCACGGGAGGAAGAGACCAAGGGAGAGGCUUUGAAGAUGGGGGGGCUGAGUUCCCUGUCUAAAGAUGAAUGGACUUACGCAUAAAGAGGGAUAAUUAUGUGGAUAUUUAUAUAUGUAUAUAUGUAUAUUCCUAUUUGUAUAGGAAUAUUUCUGUAUAUAUGUUUUUCUAUUUAUGGAUGUAUUCUUUAUACAUAUGUAUGGAUCUAUACACAUCCAUGUUUAUAAUUACAUAUGUGUAUAUAAGUAUACAUAUAUGUUGUUACAGCUGUGUUAAAUUCUAUUUCCUAUGUAUACAGCUGUGUGGGUAUCUAUUUCUGUUGAUGCAAUUACAGUUCUUUGGCUCUUUAAAUAGGUAUAUUGCUAUUUGCAUAGGUAGAUAUGUGCAUUUUUAUAUUUUUAUCUGUAUAUUGGCAUUUCUGUGUGGAAUUCUAUUUAUAUAUGUAUCCAGAUGCAUAGCUGUACAUUUGUAUUGAUGGAGUUGUGUGGACAUUUAGCUUGAUAUUUUUAUAUUUAUAGAUAGGUCUGUUUUAUAUAUCUGCUUAUAUACAUUGUAUGUAAUAUUUAAUCUAUAUGUACAUCUGUAGAUUGUUACAGUUAUACACAUCCAUAUGUAUUUGUGUACAGCUGUGUAUUUAGUUCCAUUUAAACAUGUAUGGAGUAGUAGAGUUGUGAUCACUAUUUGUACAAUGUUAUUUAGAGAGGGAAAGCAUUAUUUCUACAUGAGCCAUAUGUUUUUAGUAAUAUGUAAUAAAUUGUUAAACAUCUAAUUGAUUUUUAUGUAUAGUGAGUUGUUGUAGAGGCUGGAAAUAAAUUACGCUUUGUUAACAUAA
Long non-coding RNA from Poecile atricapillus (Black-capped chickadee), 1354 nucleotides. RefSeq lists it as uncharacterized. The transcript has 3 exons. NCBI's taxonomy places the organism in Eukaryota, Metazoa, Chordata, Aves, Passeriformes, Paridae. The record is from RefSeq and is a predicted model, not a curated record.